UACGUAGGUGGCAAGCGUUGUCCGGAUUUACUGGGUGUAAAGGGCGUGCAGCCGGGCUGACAAGUCAGAUGUGAAAUCCCGCGGCUCAACCGCGGAACUGCAUUUGAAACUGUCAGUCUUGAGUACCGGAGAGGUCAUCGGAAUUCCUUGUGUAGCGGUGAAAUGCUUAGAUAUCACGAAGAACUCCGAUUGCGAAGGCAGCUCACUGGACUGCAACUGACACUGAGGCUCGAAAGUGUGGGUAUCAAACAGG
This 253-nucleotide ribosomal RNA is filed under the name uncultured Oscillospira sp. RNAcentral describes it as "partial 16S ribosomal RNA". It matches the Rfam family "Bacterial small subunit ribosomal RNA", at positions 524 to 776 of the family's 1533-position model. Lineage: Bacteria; Bacillati; Bacillota; Clostridia; Eubacteriales; Oscillospiraceae. The record is from RNAcentral.